This 874-nucleotide ribosomal RNA is filed under the name uncultured bacterium. Its description in RNAcentral is "bacterial SSU rRNA". It matches the Rfam family "Bacterial small subunit ribosomal RNA", at positions 624 to 1533 of the family's 1533-position model. The record is from RNAcentral.
CCUUUUGGAUGCCGAGCUUAGAUCUGAAGCGGGGAGUUCCGGUUCCGUAGGUCGUAUUCCGGAAAACCAGGUGGCAGACUUCCUUGCGUUUGAGCCUCAACGAAAGCUGGGGGCCAACCAGAAUAGAUACGUAGUCCAGCCCUUAACGAGUCCACGGAUGUUUGGAGGUUUUUUUUCAGUAAACGAGUAACGCGGGAAGUGACGCCUGGGAGUACGGCGCCAGGUUGACUUAGAUGACCGGACCCGCCACACGCGGUGGAUGAUGUGGUUUAAUCGAUGCAACGCGAAAAACCUUACCUACCUGACAUGUCUGCAUUCUGAAGAGAUUUGGGAGUGCUCGAAAGAGAGCCAGAACACAGGUGCUGCAUGGCCGUCGUCAGCUCGUGUCGUGAGAUGUUGGGUUAAGUCCCGCAACGAGCGCAACCCUUGUCAUUAGUUGCUACGAAAGGGCACUCUAAUGAGACUGCCGGUGACAACCCGGAGGAAGGUGGGGAUGACGUCAGGUCGUCAUGGCCCUUAUGGGUAGGGCUACACACGUCAUACAAUGGCCGGGACAGAGGGCUGCCAACCCGCGAGGGGGAGCUAAUCCCAGAAACCCGGUCGUAGUCCGGAUCGUAGUCUGCAACUCGACUGCGUGAAGUCGGAAUCGCUAGUAAUCGCGGAUCAGCUUGCCGCGGUGAAUACGUUCCCGGGUCUUGUACACACCGCCCGUCACACCAUGGGAGCGGGUUCUGCCAGAAGUAGUUAGCCUAACCGCAAGGGGGGCGAUUACCACGGCAGGGUUCGUGACUGGGGUGAAGUCGUAACAAGGUAACCGUAAAUCGAAUCCCGCGGCCUGCACAUGGCGGCCAGGAGCAUGACGAUGACGCAUUAG